AAAGAUUGGCAUAUUAUUCAAUUCAACCCAUAGCUAAAAAACACUAACUGAAUAAAGUCAUGUCUCUCUUAGACAGCAGGAACACAGCAUUGUUUAUUAUACUGGUGGGGAUCGAGUUAUGAAUUUCAUCGAGUCUCAAUGAUUUCAGCCAAUGAGACAAUGCAGACUCUCAACUUUGUGGGAUAUAUUUAUAUAUAUAGCCUUGUUUAAUUUGGAAGGCAAGCAAAUUAC
Humulus lupulus (European hop) is the source of this 231-nucleotide long non-coding RNA. RefSeq lists it as uncharacterized. Lineage: Eukaryota; Viridiplantae; Streptophyta; Magnoliopsida; Rosales; Cannabaceae. The record is from RefSeq and is a predicted model, not a curated record. The transcript has 3 exons.